GGCAAGAUGGCCGAGUUGGUUAUGGCGUGAGGUUAAGGUCACCUUAAUUCAUAAGAAUUCUAGAAUUCCUAUAUCCUCAUGGAGCAAUCCGCGUGGGUUCAAGUCCCACUCUUGUCA
Molecule: non-coding RNA, 117 nt
Organism: Daldinia eschscholtzii
Lineage: Eukaryota; Fungi; Ascomycota; Sordariomycetes; Xylariales; Hypoxylaceae
Source: the annotation of a GenBank genome assembly